AGAAUUUGAUCAUGGGUCAAAUUGAGCGCUGGGGGCAGGCCUAACACAUGCAAGUCGAGCGGAUGACGGGAGCUUGCUCCUUGAUUCAGCGGCGGACGGGUGAGUAAUGCCUAGGAAUCUGCCUGGUAGUGGGGGACAACGUUUCGAAAGGAACGCUAAUACCGCAUACGUCCUACGGGAGAAAGCAGGGGACCUUCGGGCCUUGCGCUAUCAGAUGAGCCUAGGUCGGAUUAGCUUGUUGGUGAGGUAAUGGCUCACCAAGGCGACGAUCCGUAACUGGUCUGAGAGGAUGAUCAGUCACACUGGAACUGAGACACGGUCCAGACUCCUACGGGAGGCAGC
Molecule: ribosomal RNA, 342 nt
Filed under: uncultured bacterium
Lineage: Bacteria
Description: bacterial SSU rRNA
Rfam family: Bacterial small subunit ribosomal RNA
Source: RNAcentral